This 480-nucleotide ribosomal RNA is filed under the name uncultured bacterium. RNAcentral's name for it is "partial 16S ribosomal RNA". It matches the Rfam family "Bacterial small subunit ribosomal RNA", at positions 30 to 507 of the family's 1533-position model. The record is from RNAcentral.
AUUGAACGCUGGCGGCAGGCUUAACACAUGCAAGUCGAACGAUAACUCUCUAGCUUGCUAGAGUUGUUUAGUGGCGGACGGGUGAGUAACAUUUAGGAAUCUACCUAUGCGCUUGGGAUAGCUCGGGGAAACCCGAAUUAAUACCGCAUACGACCUACGUGUGAAAGGGUGCGCAGGCUCUUGCUACUAGAUGAGCUUAGAUCAGAUUCGCUAGUUGGUGGGGUAGAGGCCUACCAAGGCGACGAUCUGUAACUGGUCUGAGAGGAGGAUCAGUCACACCGGAACUGAGACACGGUACGGAGUCUUACGGGAGGCAGCAGUGGGGAAUAUUGGACAAUGGGGGCAACCCUGAUCCAGCGAUGCAGCGUGUGUGAAGAAGGCCUUUUGGUUGUAAAGCACUUUAAGCAGGGAGGAGAGGCUACUGGUUAAUACAAAUUAGAUUAGACGUUACCUGCAGAAUAAGCACCGGCUAACUCCGUG